This 2700-nucleotide ribosomal RNA is filed under the name human gut metagenome. RNAcentral's name for it is "bacterial LSU rRNA". The stretch from base 1 to 2264 matches the Rfam family "Bacterial large subunit ribosomal RNA". The record is from RNAcentral.
UCAAGCUACAAAGGGCGCAAGGAGAAUGCCUUGGCACUGGGAGCCGAUGAAAGACGUGGUAAGCUGCGAUAAGCUUCGGGGAGGAGCAAACAUCCUUUGAUCCGGAGAUUUCUGAAUGAGGAAACUCACCAGAGUUCAUACUCUGGUAUCCUGUACUGAAUCCAUAGGUACAGGAGGGGAACCGCCUGAACUGAAACAUCUAAGUAGGGCGAGGAAGAGACAUCAAACGAGAUUCCGUUAGUAGUGGCGAGCGAACGCGGAAGAGGGCAAACCGGAAGGAGAAAUCCUUCCGGGGUAUGGACCGCAUUUAGGACUUUAGCUGUUAAUCGAAUGGCAUGGGAAGGCCAACCAAAGAGUGUGAGAGUCACGUAGAUGAAAACGGCGAGAGCUGCGCGAGUUCCAGAGUACGGCCAGACACGUGAAACCUGGUCGGAAGAUGGGGGGACCACCCUCCAACCCUAAAUACUACCCAGUGACCGAUAGCGUAUAGUACUGUGAAGGAAAGGUGAAAAGGACCCCGGGAGGGGAGUGAAAUAGAACCUGAAACCUUGUGCCUACAAGCACAUAGAGCACAUCAACGUGUGAUAUGGUACUUUUUGUAGAACGGUCCGGCGAGCGAUUGUAUGUUGCGAGCUUAAGGUCUUAAGGACUGGAGGCGUAGCGAGAGCGAGUCUGAAGAGGGCGUUCAGUAACAUGCAAUGGGCCCGAAACCGGGUGACCUACCCAUGAUCAGGCUGAAGUGAAAGUAAAAUUUCAUGGAGGGCCGAACCGACCUCCGUUGAAAAGGCGGCGGAUGAAUUGUGGGUAGCGGAGAAAUUCCAAUCGAACUCGGAGAUAGCUGGUUCUCCCCGAAAUAGCUUUAGGGCUAGCCUCAUAUUAGAUACCCGGAGGUAAAGCACUGAAUGGCCUAGCGCCCGAGAGGGUAGCGAAGCCUAUCAAACUAAGAAUGCCGGAGUAUUGAUGUAUGGGAGUCAGACAGUGUGAGAUAAAUCUCAUUGUCAAAAGGGAAACAGCCCAGAUCUACAGCUAAGGUCCCAAAUUGUAUCUAAGUGGAAAACGAUGUGGAAAUACGCAGACAACCAGGAUGUUGGCUCAGAAGCAGCCACUCAUUUAAAGAGUGCGUAAUAGCUCACUGGUCGAGCGUCUCUGCGCGGAAAAUUUAACGGGGCUAAGAUACAAACCGAAGCUUAGGCUGCACGUAAGUGCGGGGUAGGGGAGCGUUGUGUAAGCGGAGAAACAGUAGCGUAAGCGGCUGUGGAGUUUACAGAAGUGAGAAUGCCGGAAUGAGUAGCGCGAAUGUGGUGAGAAUCCACAUGGCCGGAAACCUCAGGUUUUUGGAGGAAGGUUCGUCCGCUCCAAGUUAGGCGGGAGCUAAGGUCAGGCCGAAAGGCGUAGCCGAUGCACAGACGGUAGAGAUUCCGUCCCCACCGAAAGAUUUAAGCACAGGGACACUUUUAGAAGGUCGGAGCCAGGUGUUGGUUCUGGUAGUGAUCGAGGGAAAUAUAGUACCGAAGUCCGGCUGGAAGAGAGGCGAGAAAAGCUGUGUGUAUAUCUAAGGUGCCCGUACCGCAAACCGACACAGGUAGGUAGGAAGAAGAUUCUAAGGCCAACGGGAGAAGGGUUGUUAAGGAACUCGGCAAGUUGACCCCGUAACUUCGGAAUAAGGGGUGCUCACGAGAGUGAGCCGCAGAGAAUAGGCCCAGGCAACUGUUUACCAAAAACACAGGUUUGUGCUAAAUCGAAAGAUGACGUAUACGAGCUGACGCCUGCCCGGUGCUGGAAGGUUAAAAGGAGAUGUGCAAGCAUUGAAUUGAAGCCCCAGUGAACGGCGGCCGUAACUAUAACGGUCCUAAGGUAGCGAAAUUCCUUGUCAGGUAAGUUCUGACCCGCAUGAAAGGCGUAAUGAUCUGGGCACUGUCUCAACAGCCCGCCCGGCGAAAUUGUAGUACCGGUGAAGAUGCCGGUUACCCGCGACAAGACGGAAAGACCCCAUGGAGCUUUACUGUAGCUUAAUAUUGGAUUUUGAUAUUUCAUGUACAGAAUAUACAAUAGGCUACGAUACGGCCAUGAAUACAGCAAUGGAAAUGGUUGAUAAGCUCAGAGAUACCGCUCAGUCUCACGACAGAUGCAGCGUAGUUGAGGUUAUGGGCAGGGGAGCAGGCUUUAUUGCCGUUAAUACCGGCGUGGCUUGCGGAGCUACGUAUGUUAUUACAAGCGAGGUUCCUUAUGAUCUUGACGUAAUCGCAAAGAAAAUGCUUGAAUCCAGAAAAACAGGUAAGCAGCAUUUUAUUAUAAUAGUUUCCGAGGGCGUUGGUCAUUCGGAUGAAAUUGCAAGAACUCUUCAGGAAAAGACCGGAAUUGAAGCCAGAACUACUAUUCUCGGUCAUGUUCAGAGGGGCGGUUCUCCUACUGUUAGAGACAGAGUUGUUGCAAGUCAAAUGGGUUAUUAUGCAGUUAAUCUGCUCUCACAGGGUAUUGGAAACAGAGUUGUCGGAAUGCAAAAUAAUAAAAUCGUGGAUUAUGACAUUCAGGAAGCUCUUUCCAUGAAAAAACCUUUUGAGGAAGAUUUAUAUCAUAUAGCAGAUGAAAUUGCAUUUUAAUAAUUAUACGAAUAUAGGCAUCAGAGUAGAAAACUAUGCAUAAAGUGGCCGACAGACGGGGAGUUGCUGUUGGAACGAAAAGCACAAAAAGCUUGCGGUA